Molecule: ribosomal RNA, 467 nt
Filed under: uncultured bacterium
Lineage: Bacteria
Description: partial 16S ribosomal RNA
Rfam family: Bacterial small subunit ribosomal RNA
Source: RNAcentral
GACGAACGCUGGCGGCGUGCUUAACACAUGCAAGUCGAACGGAAAGGCCCUGCUUUUGUGGGGUGCUCGAGUGGCGAACGGGUGAGUAACACGUGAGUAACCUGCCCUUGACUUUGGGAUAACUUCAGGAAACUGGGGCUAAUACCGGAUAGGAGCUCCUGCUGCAUGGUGGGGGUUGGAAAGUUUCGGCGGUUGGGGAUGGACUCGCGGCUUAUCAGCUUGUUGGUGGAGUAGUGGCUUACCAAGGCUUUGACGGGUAGCCGGCCUGAGAGGGUGACCGGCCACAUUGGGACUGAGAUACGGCCCAGACUCCUACGGGAGGCAGCAGUGGGGAAUAUUGCACAAUGGGCGGAAGCCUGAUGCAGCAACGCCGCGUGCGGGAUGACGGCCUUCGGGUUGUAAACCGCUUUCGCCUGUGACGAAGCGUGAGUGACGGUAAUGGGUAAAGAAGCACCGGCUAACUACGU